UCCGGUAUGGUCUAGUGGUUAGGAUACCUGGCUUUCACCCAGGAGGCUCAGGUUCGAUUCCCGGUACCGGAA
RNAcentral lists this transfer RNA (72 nucleotides) under Blattella germanica (German cockroach). RNAcentral describes it as "tRNA-Glu (TTC) (tRNA-Glu-TTC-7-1)". It matches the Rfam family "tRNA". Rfam says of the family: Transfer RNA (tRNA) molecules are approximately 80 nucleotides in length. Their secondary structure includes four short double-helical elements and three loops (D, anti-codon, and T loops). The record is from RNAcentral. Lineage: Eukaryota; Metazoa; Arthropoda; Insecta; Blattodea; Blattellidae.